CAGAGCUGGGCCUGAGAACAAGCGCUGCCCCGACAUCAUAUUCCACCACAGAGGAGUGCCAACAGUACUGCUUGUUGUCCUUCUCUACUGGAACCCAGCCUGGAUGUUUACAAGGACAAGAAACGACAUCAAUACAGCCCAGCUCCCAAAACAGCUGUUCCGACUACAGAACGAGUAUGAAACAGCGACUGAAACGCACCCCAUUAAGUUAACAUGUGAACCUGCAGUCACUUCAGAGCCAAAUCUACACCACUACGAUACAUCCUCAUCGGACGAGCUCACCAGACACGAGUGAAAAACAACGUCUGUGGUGAAGUUAUGUGACGAUCGGUGUACGCUUGUCCUUCUGUGAAUCUGUCUGCUUGCAGUGUGACUCAAAAAUGGACUAACGGGUUUGAAAUGAAUGAGAUUUUCAUGGAAGGACAGAAAUGACACAAAGACUACCUGAUUAGAUUUUGGAAGUGGUGCAGCUUACAGUCUGGAUCCACGGAUUUGUUAAAGAUUUCUGUAUCAUUGCGAGAUAGUGGCACGGCACCACUGUAACUAUGACAACAAGUGAACACUACGACCGCUGCCUGCAACAUAUUUCAGUCACACAAUUCGGUAUCUGUACAACACACACCUGUGCUCAGCACAAGGUCAUCAUUUUUUUAAUUUGUGGGUAGAUCUGUAUUAAAUGGCCAGAUUCUUUAUUGCCCUGAUUGCUGAAUAAACAAAUUGAAAAAUAAACAGCCUUGGUGGAGUACUGCA
Molecule: long non-coding RNA, 750 nt
Organism: Acanthochromis polyacanthus (spiny chromis)
Lineage: Eukaryota; Metazoa; Chordata; Actinopteri; Pomacentridae
Exons: 2
Source: RefSeq, a predicted model, not a curated record